CACCCCUUUUCUUCCACCCUUUCAACCCCUUAACACUACAUAAGAGAGAAAAAAGAGUAGAGAGGAAAGCAAAGAGAUUCCUGGAUAAAGUCAAGGGCCAGAAAGGGGGACAGUUAUUGCUAGACUUCAUGCUGACUAGGGAUCAAGUUCCUUGGGGCAAGUUUGAAAAUACAGCAGGUAACAUAGCAAGUAUGACCAGUGAAGUCACAAUCAUGCUGGUGUAAUCUUGGCUGCCACCCUCUGUUUACAAACUGAGUUGAAUGUCCUACCUACUAAUACCUAGCAACAACAGGUAAUAGCUUCAUUGGGAGUCCUCUGCGUAGAACUCCAGCCACCACAAAUUUUUCUAUUGACUAGUUACAGCUACAUGUGGAAAUGUUUUGGAGAGAAUCUACUUGCUUCAGAAGUAGCUCUUGGAAUUUCUUUGGGCUAAGAAAUCACCAAUGGCUACAGGAUCUUUGGCUAAAUUUUUCUUCCAUGUCCAGGUGUCUCAUCUUGGCUGCCUCUCUCUUGUGCACAGAUGCACUUAGAAGCAAAGGCACAUUCUACAUGAUUGUAAGGCCGGGCUUUAUUGGAUAGCUGCUUGCAAGUGCAGCUUUGCUGCUGAAGCACGCAUCUGUAUCUGCAUCUGUAUCUGCAUCUACUGGAAACCAAAGAACUGACAAACAGAGUUCUUCAGUCAGGCAGCAAAGACCCACCAUGAGCAGCGACUCCCAGUCUUCAGAACCAGCACAAUAACAAGAGACCACGGACACAGAAGUCCAAGCAGAAUGCCCACACUGUCCAGAAACAGCAAAGGACUUCAAGAGGACCGGGGCUGGAGAAACAGCUCAGCAGGUAA
Molecule: long non-coding RNA, 841 nt
Organism: Mastomys coucha (southern multimammate mouse)
Lineage: Eukaryota; Metazoa; Chordata; Mammalia; Rodentia; Muridae
Exons: 3
Source: RefSeq, a predicted model, not a curated record